AGCAGCCGCGGUAAUUCCAGCUCCAAUAGCGUAUAUUAAAGUUGUUGCAGUUAAAAAGCUCGUAGUUGAAUUUCGGGAUUGACGUGACGGUCGUGCCUUAAGGGGUAUGAACUGUCGCCGUUGAUUUCUCACCUUCUGGAGAAGCUCGAUGUCCUUAAUUGGAUGUCUUGUGGAACCAGGACCUUUACCUUGAAAAAAUUAGAGUGUUUAAAGCAGGCAUUUUGCUCGAAUACAUUAGCAUGGAAUAAUAGAAUAGGACGGCAUGGUUCUAUUUUGUUGGUUUCUAGGAUCACCGUAAUGAUUAAUAGGGAUAGUUGGGGGCAUUAGUAUUCAAUUGUCAGAGGUGAAAUUCUUGGAUUUAUUGAAGACUAACUACUGCGAAAGCAUUUGCCAAGGAUGUUUUCAUUAAUCAAGAACGAAAGUUAGGGGAUCGAAGACGAUCAGAUACCGUCGUAGUCUUAACCAUAAACUAUGCCGACUAGGAAUC
RNAcentral lists this ribosomal RNA (487 nucleotides) under uncultured Entrophospora. Its description in RNAcentral is "SSU rRNA". It matches the Rfam family "Eukaryotic small subunit ribosomal RNA", at positions 569 to 1054 of the family's 1831-position model. Lineage: Eukaryota; Fungi; Glomeromycota; Glomeromycetes; Entrophosporales; Entrophosporaceae. The record is from RNAcentral.